AGUGAACGCUGGCGGUAGGCCUAACACAUGCAAGUCGAACGGCAGCACAGGAGAGCUUGCUCUCUGGGUGGCGAGUGGCGGACGGGUGAGGAAUACAUCGGAAUCUACUCUGUCGUGGGGGAUAACGUAGGGAAACUUACGCUAAUACCGCAUACGACCUACGGGUGAAAGCAGGGGACCUUCGGGCCUUGCGCGAUUGAAUGAGCCGAUGUCGGAUUAGCUAGUUGGCGGGGUAAAGGCCCACCAAGGCGACGAUCCGUAGCUGGUCUGAGAGGAUGAUCAGGCACACUGGAACUGAGACACGGUCCAGACUCCUACGGGAGGCAGCAGUGGGGAAUAGUGGACAAUGGGCGCAAGCCUGAUCCAGCCAUACCGCGUGGGUGAAGAAGGCCUUCGGGUUGUAAAGCCCUUUUGUUGGGAAAGAAAUCCAGCUGGCUAAUACCCGGUUGGGAUGAUGGUACCCAAAGAAUAAGCACCGGCUAACUUCGUGCCAGCCGCCGCGGUAA
Molecule: ribosomal RNA, 506 nt
Filed under: uncultured bacterium
Lineage: Bacteria
Description: partial 16S ribosomal RNA
Rfam family: Bacterial small subunit ribosomal RNA
Source: RNAcentral